CCCGGCUGUAGUAAUAUAUCACAUCCGGCAGACAGCGUGGCUCAGAGAGGUUCGGCAUCACGUUGCUAUUGUUUGAGCUGUGUCAGUGAUAGUGUGCGUCUAUCAGAAAAAAACACACACACACACACACACACACACACAC
Long non-coding RNA from Melanotaenia boesemani (Boeseman's rainbowfish), 142 nucleotides. RefSeq lists it as uncharacterized. Lineage: Eukaryota; Metazoa; Chordata; Actinopteri; Atheriniformes; Melanotaeniidae. The transcript is spliced from 3 exons. The record is from RefSeq and is a predicted model, not a curated record.